GAUGAACGCUAGCUACAGGCUUAACACAUGCAAGUCGAGGGGUAACGAGAGGAAAGCUUGCUUUCCUUGUCGACGACCGGCGCACGGGUGAGUAACGCGUAUCCAACCUGCCCCCAACUAGGGAAUAACCUUGCGAAAGUAAGACUAAUACCCUAUAAUUUCCUCAGAUGACAUCUGACGAGGAAUAAAGAUUUAUCGGUUGUGGAUGGGGAUGCGUCUGAUUAGCUUGUUGGCGGGGUAACGGCCCACCAAGGCAACGAUCAGUAGGGGUUCUGAGAGGAAGGUCCCCCACAUUGGAACUGAGACACGGGCCAAACUCCUACGGGAGGCAGCAGUGAGGAAUAUUGGUCAAUGGGUGGAAGCCUGAACCAGCCAAGUAGCGUGCAGGAUGACGGCCCUAUGGGUUGUAAACUGCUUUUAUACAGGAAUAAAGUUAGCCACGUGUGGUUAUUUGUAGGUACUGUACGAAUAAGGACCGGCUAAUUCCGUGCCAGCCGCCGCAGUAA
RNAcentral lists this ribosomal RNA (506 nucleotides) under uncultured bacterium. RNAcentral's name for it is "partial 16S ribosomal RNA". It matches the Rfam family "Bacterial small subunit ribosomal RNA", at positions 28 to 523 of the family's 1533-position model. The record is from RNAcentral.